GUGCUCACUUAGGCAGCACAUAUACUAAAAUUGGAACGAUACAGAGAAGAGUAGCACGGCCCUGUGCAAGGAUGGCACACGAAUUCGCGAAGCGUUCUAUACUUAA
Small nuclear RNA from Arvicanthis niloticus (Nile rat), 106 nucleotides. NCBI's taxonomy places the organism in Eukaryota, Metazoa, Chordata, Mammalia, Rodentia, Muridae. The record is from RefSeq and is a predicted model, not a curated record.